GAUGAACGCUGGCGGCGUGCUUAACACAUGCAAGUCGAACGAGAAAUGGAGACGGAAACCUUCGGGCGGAAGGCUUCAUUUCGAGUGGUGGACGGGUGAUUAACGCGUGGGUAACCUGCCUCAUACAGGGGGAUAACAGUUGGACACGACUGUUAAUACCGCAUCAGACCACAGCACCGCAUAGUGCGGAGGUACAAACUGCGGUGGUAUGAGAGGGACCCACGGUCGAUUAGCCAGUUGGCGGGGUAACCGCCCACCAAAGGGACGACCGAAAGCCGGUAUGAGAGCACGGCCCGGCACAUUGGGAGAGAGACACGUACGAAACUCCUGCGGAUGGCAGCAGGGGGGAAUAUUGAACAACGCGGGAGUCACUGAUGCAGCGAGGCCGCGUGAGUGAGUUAGUACUUCGGUACGUAAAUGUGUAUCAGCAGGGCAGACAAUGACGGUACCUUAGCAAGAAGCCCCGGCUAACUACGUG
This 478-nucleotide ribosomal RNA is filed under the name uncultured bacterium. Its description in RNAcentral is "partial 16S ribosomal RNA". It matches the Rfam family "Bacterial small subunit ribosomal RNA", at positions 28 to 507 of the family's 1533-position model. The record is from RNAcentral.